Cheilinus undulatus (humphead wrasse) is the source of this 1692-nucleotide long non-coding RNA. RefSeq lists it as uncharacterized. The record is from RefSeq and is a predicted model, not a curated record. The transcript has 3 exons. Lineage: Eukaryota; Metazoa; Chordata; Actinopteri; Labriformes; Labridae.
CUUUUCUAGUUUAAAUUCUGUUUUGACUUUGUGAUGAGGGGGGUGUAUAAAUGAGAUUUUUUUCUGUAGCUUCAGGCUGCAACAGGAAAAUUGAAAAAAAGUAAAGGGGGCUGAAUUCUCUCUGAAUUCUCUGUAUGUCGUGUGAAACUUUGCAACAGUAAGAAAUCUUUUUUUUUAAAUACAAGAUAAAAAUUUUUAAAAAUCCUAACACUGAUUUUGGGCUUCCUGCCUUUAACCAUAGAGUACAGUGGUUAGAGCUGGAGACCAGAGAGAGAGAGAGAGAGGGGAGGGAGCCACAGGCCAGAUUCAAAACCAGAGCACAAGAACUUGUGAACAUGUGGCCCUAAAACCACUAGACUACCAGUACUGUAUACAUAAUAUACAUUUAUAUGUUAACUCCUGGUAAAACUAAUACUUUUACUAAAAGAUAAUAGAGGUUAAAUUACACCAAGUAUUUAGAGAUGUAGUCACCAGACUCUUUGUUUCAGUUAACACACUACUUCUACGCCUCAAUAUGAGAAAAAGCACCUCUGCAUGACGUUUUUUUUGGUCAAAUAUCCUGAUGAAGUCUGCUCAGCGGGUCUCUGAUAGGAGGCUGUUUUCUGAAUGUGAUAGAAAAGAGUUUCCUCUUCCUGACUACUGAGAUUAAAACCUCAUUCUUUCCUCCAUAAACAUGAAUUAUUUUGAGAUAAAUCAAAAAGCAGACAUUUUACCUGCAUAAACCAAUAGAAGCAGCUCUGCAGCCGUCCUGGACUCAGACCUCCUCAUAAAGGAUUUACUGGCUGAUCCAGUCAGAUGUGCUGAUGUUGCAUCACUCUGCAGCUACAUGAGCUUCUCAGAGAGCCCCCAAAACCACCGUGUCUGUGUCUUACAAGGCUGGCAUGCCUGAACACAGUUAAAGUGAGGAGGAAACUGUAGAUUAACAAAUUCCUCAUGUGUAGACCAGCUGUCCUCUGCAUGUGUGUGAAGCUGUGGUUUGGCCCUCACUGAGAAGUGCUUAUGUGGCGCCUGGCUCCCCUUCAUUACAAACUCCUGUUUGCUCUCUUACGUCAUCUAUUUUGUGUUUUUGGAGGAUUAUUAGACCAGAAGACUCUGGGUUCAGGUUCUGAUUAUGUGACAUAAAAAAAUCAGUUUAAUUGUGCUGUUUGUUUACCAAUAUAACAUCUCUCACCGUCUUUCCACGUCCCCAUCCCGCUCCAGCCCUCCCACCGUCCCUGUUUUCCUGUCUUUAAUUACGGCUCCUCCAAUAGGCUCAAACUAUCAGAAACUUUUCCACCAAUCAGGUGCCUGGUUGUGGCGGCCCUUGACCCCCUCAGGUGGCUCCCUGCGUGUGCUUCUUCAGCGUGAGCGCUAAUGAGUGCUUGUUGUGUGUUCCGUUUAAAACCCUGGCCCGGUCCCUCUGUCAGGGCAGUCUGUCAGAAGGGCCACAGGGACAGGGUGCAGCAGGAGCCUCUAUCACACCCACAACCAGUGUUUGAGCCCAAGUGGACCGGAUCAUAAGGAGUCCACAUCUGGAUCCACAGGGAUAAAUAAGCACAGCAGGAGAGAGGAGGAAGAGGAGAAGUCAUGGCUGGAAGGAGGAAAAGCAGUUUGUCUGGUGUUUUUGUGGCCACUCUGCUGGCUCUGAUGCUGCUGCCUGUGUUGUUGUCCGCUGGACCAGUGAAGAAGCCGAGGGGUGAUGGUAAGCAUAUU